AGGGCCAAGCAACUUCCGAAGAGCUUUCUUCUGCUAUCCUGUUAAUGUGCUGUGUGUCUUCAUGUGCUGAUAGUCUGUAAAAACAGGAUCCAUUAGGAAUUUUUAGCACUUUGAGAUACAACAAUGGUGGCACAUAUGCUGUUCAGGUGGAUUCUAAAAGGGCUUAUUCUGUCUUUUCUGCUCAAAACUACCCUGUCCCUAAACCCAGAUGAUCCAAAUGUUUGUAGUCAUUGGGAAAGCUACGCUGUGACAGUACAGGAAUCUUAUGCUCAUCCUUUUGAUCAGAUCUAUUAUACAAGAUGUACUGACAUACUGAACUGGUUCAAGUGCACUAGACAUAGAAUAAGUUAUAAAACAGCAUAUCGAAGAGGACUAAGAACUAUGUAUCGGCGAAGAUCUCAGUGCUGCCCUGGAUAUUACGAAAGUGGAGACUACUGUAUACGUAUGUACAGA
This is a long non-coding RNA of Fulmarus glacialis (Northern fulmar), 453 nucleotides long. RefSeq lists it as uncharacterized. Lineage: Eukaryota; Metazoa; Chordata; Aves; Procellariiformes; Procellariidae. The record is from RefSeq and is a predicted model, not a curated record. The transcript has 4 exons.